UGCGGGAUGCCUGGAGAUGGUGCCAGAGCGGUCUCAUAAGCCGUACAAACGUGGGUUCGAGUCCCACUCCCGCAA
This 75-nucleotide transfer RNA is filed under the name Paludibacteraceae bacterium. RNAcentral describes it as "tRNA-Met". It matches the Rfam family "tRNA". Rfam says of the family: Transfer RNA (tRNA) molecules are approximately 80 nucleotides in length. Their secondary structure includes four short double-helical elements and three loops (D, anti-codon, and T loops). The record is from RNAcentral. RNAcentral also lists the same sequence under 1 other name. Lineage: Bacteria; Pseudomonadati; Bacteroidota; Bacteroidia; Bacteroidales; Paludibacteraceae.